AUCUGGGUCAAUGCGGCAUCGUUCUGGAGCCACUGAUCAGACUCCAAACGGCGUCGUUUCGUACAUCACGUAAGGGAAAAAAUAAAACCCUAAACUGGUAGCCACAGCUUCAUUUUUCGAAACGAAAAUAAAAUAAAAUAAAAUAAAAUAAAAACAAGAACCCAAAUGCUCUCCUCUCUGCGCCGCUUCAACACCGAAAGCCCC
Molecule: long non-coding RNA, 204 nt
Filed under: Gossypium raimondii (Peruvian cotton)
Lineage: Eukaryota; Viridiplantae; Streptophyta; Magnoliopsida; Malvales; Malvaceae
Description: long non-coding RNA (GRAI_LNC008548)
Source: RNAcentral